UACGUAGGGUGCAAGCGUUGUCCGGAAUUAUUGGGCGUAAAGAGCUCGUAGGCGGUUUGUCGCGUCUGCUGUGAAAACUCGGGACUUAACCCCGGGCCUGCAGUGGGUACGGGCAGACUAGAGUGCGGUAGGGGAGACUGGAAUUCCUGGUGUAGCGGUGAAAUGCGCAGAUAUCAGGAGGAACACCGGUGGCGAAGGCGGGUCUCUGGGCCGUAACUGACGCUGAGGAGCGAAAGCGUGGGGAGCGAACAGG
This 253-nucleotide ribosomal RNA is filed under the name uncultured bacterium. RNAcentral describes it as "partial 16S ribosomal RNA". It matches the Rfam family "Bacterial small subunit ribosomal RNA", at positions 524 to 776 of the family's 1533-position model. The record is from RNAcentral.